AUUGAACGCUGGCGGCAUGCUUUACACAUGCAAGUCGAACGGCAGCGCGGGGCAACCUGGCGGCGAGUGGCGAACGGGUGAGUAAUAUAUCGGAACGUACCCAGAAGUGGGGGAUAACGUAGCGAAAGAUACGCUAAUACCGCAUACGAUCUACGGAUGAAAGUAGGGGACCGCAAGGCCUUAUGCUUUUGGUGCGGCCGAUAUCUGAUUAGCUAGUUGGUGAGGUAAAGGCUCACCAAGGCGACGAUCAGUAGCUGGUCUGAGAGGACGACCAGCCACACUGGAACUGAGACACGGUCCAGACUCCUACGGGAGGCAGCAGUGGGGAAUUUUGGACAAUGGGCGCAAGCCUGAUCCAGCAAUGCCGCGUGAGUGAAGAAGGCCUUCGGGUUGUAAAGCUCUUUUGUCAGGGAAGAAACGGUAGAGGCUAAUAUCCUGUGCUAAUGACGGUACCUGAAGAAUAAGCACCGGCUAACUACGUG
Molecule: ribosomal RNA, 482 nt
Filed under: uncultured bacterium
Lineage: Bacteria
Description: partial 16S ribosomal RNA
Rfam family: Bacterial small subunit ribosomal RNA
Source: RNAcentral